This 2906-nucleotide ribosomal RNA is filed under the name Enterobacter cloacae complex sp. P22RS. RNAcentral describes it as "23S ribosomal RNA". It matches the Rfam family "Bacterial large subunit ribosomal RNA". Lineage: Bacteria; Pseudomonadati; Pseudomonadota; Gammaproteobacteria; Enterobacterales; Enterobacteriaceae. The record is from RNAcentral.
GGUUAAGCGACUAAGCGUACACGGUGGAUGCCCUGGCAGUCAGAGGCGAUGAAGGACGUGCUAAUCUGCGAAAAGCGCCGGCGAGGUGAUAUGAACCUUUGACCCGGCGAUGUCCGAAUGGGGAAACCCAGUGCAAUCCGUUGCACUAUCGUUAACUGAAUACAUAGGUUAACGAGGCGAACCGGGGGAACUGAAACAUCUAAGUACCCCGAGGAAAAGAAAUCAACCGAGAUUCCCCCAGUAGCGGCGAGCGAACGGGGAGCAGCCCGGAGUCUGAAUCAGCUUGUGUGUUAGUGGAACGGUCUGGAAAGUCCGACGGUACAGGGUGAUAGUCCCGUACACGAAAGCACACAUGCUGUGAACUCGAAGAGUAGGGCGGGACACGUGGUAUCCUGUCUGAAUAUGGGGGGACCAUCCUCCAAGGCUAAAUACUCCUGACUGACCGAUAGUGAACCAGUACCGUGAGGGAAAGGCGAAAAGAACCCCGGCGAGGGGAGUGAAAAAGAACCUGAAACCGUGUACGUACAAGCAGUGGGAGCCUCUUUAUGGGGUGACUGCGUACCUUUUGUAUAAUGGGUCAGCGACUUAUAUUCUGUAGCAAGGUUAACCGUAUAGGGGAGCCGAAGGGAAACCGAGUCUUAACUGGGCGUUAAGUUGCAGGGUAUAGACCCGAAACCCGGUGAUCUAGCCAUGGGCAGGUUGAAGGUUGGGUAACACUAACUGGAGGACCGAACCGACUAAUGUUGAAAAAUUAGCGGAUGACCUGUGGCUGGGGGUGAAAGGCCAAUCAAACCGGGAGAUAGCUGGUUCUCCCCGAAAGCUAUUUAGGUAGCGCCUCGUGAACUCAUCUUCGGGGGUAGAGCACUGUUUCGGCUAGGGGGCCAUCCCGGCUUACCAACCCGAUGCAAACUACGAAUACCGAAGAAUGUUAUCACGGGAGACACACGGCGGGUGCUAACGUCCGUCGUGAAGAGGGAAACAACCCAGACCGCCAGCUAAGGUCCCAAAGUCAUGGUUAAGUGGGAAACGAUGUGGGAAGGCACAGACAGCCAGGAUGUUGGCUUAGAAGCAGCCAUCAUUUAAAGAAAGCGUAAUAGCUCACUGGUCGAGUCGGCCUGCGCGGAAGAUGUAACGGGGCUAAACCAUGCACCGAAGCUGCGGCAGCGACGCUUAUGCGUUGUUGGGUAGGGGAGCGUUCUGUAAGCCGUUGAAGGUGUCCUGUGAGGGGUGCUGGAGGUAUCAGAAGUGCGAAUGCUGACAUAAGUAACGAUAAAGCGGGUGAAAAGCCCGCUCGCCGGAAGACCAAGGGUUCCUGUCCAACGUUAAUCGGGGCAGGGUGAGUCGACCCCUAAGGCGAGGCCGAAAGGCGUAGUCGAUGGGAAACAGGUUAAUAUUCCUGUACUUGGUGUUACUGCGAAGGGGGGACGGAGAAGGCUAUGUCAGCCGGGCGACGGUUGUCCCGGUUUAAGCAUGUAGGCGGAGGUUCCAGGUAAAUCCGGUACCUUAUUAACGCUGAGGUGUGAUGACGAGGCACUACGGUGCUGAAGUGAUAAAUGCCCUGCUUCCAGGAAAAGCCUCUAAGCAUCAGGUAACACGAAAUCGUACCCCAAACCGACACAGGUGGUCAGGUAGAGAAUACCAAGGCGCUUGAGAGAACUCGGGUGAAGGAACUAGGCAAAAUGGUGCCGUAACUUCGGGAGAAGGCACGCUGAUGUGUAGGUGAAGUCCCUGCGGACGGAGCUGAAAUCAGUCGAAGAUACCAGCUGGCUGCAACUGUUUAUUAAAAACACAGCACUGUGCAAACACGAAAGUGGACGUAUACGGUGUGACGCCUGCCCGGUGCCGGAAGGUUAAUUGAUGGGGUUAGCGGCAACGCGAAGCUCUUGAUCGAAGCCCCGGUAAACGGCGGCCGUAACUAUAACGGUCCUAAGGUAGCGAAAUUCCUUGUCGGGUAAGUUCCGACCUGCACGAAUGGCGUAAUGAUGGCCAGGCUGUCUCCACCCGAGACUCAGUGAAAUUGAACUCGCUGUGAAGAUGCAGUGUACCCGCGGCAAGACGGAAAGACCCCGUGAACCUUUACUAUAGCUUGACACUGAACACUGGUCCUUGAUGUGUAGGAUAGGUGGGAGGCUUUGAAGCGUGGACGCCAGUCUGCGUGGAGCCAACCUUGAAAUACCACCCUUUAAUGGCUGGUGUUCUAACGUAGACCCGUGAUCCGGGUUGCGGACAGUGUCUGGUGGGUAGUUUGACUGGGGCGGUCUCCUCCCAAAGAGUAACGGAGGAGCACGAAGGUUGGCUAAUCCUGGUCGGACAUCAGGAGGUUAGUGCAAUGGCAUAAGCCAGCUUGACUGCGAGCGUGACGGCGCGAGCAGGUGCGAAAGCAGGUCAUAGUGAUCCGGUGGUUCUGAAUGGAAGGGCCAUCGCUCAACGGAUAAAAGGUACUCCGGGGAUAACAGGCUGAUACCGCCCAAGAGUUCAUAUCGACGGCGGUGUUUGGCACCUCGAUGUCGGCUCAUCACAUCCUGGGGCUGAAGUAGGUCCCAAGGGUAUGGCUGUUCGCCAUUUAAAGUGGUACGCGAGCUGGGUUUAGAACGUCGUGAGACAGUUCGGUCCCUAUCUGCCGUGGGCGCUGGAGAAUUGAGGGGGGCUGCUCCUAGUACGAGAGGACCGGAGUGGACGCAUCACUGGUGUUCGGGUUGUCAUGCCAAUGGCACUGCCCGGUAGCUAAAUGCGGAAGAGAUAAGUGCUGAAAGCAUCUAAGCACGAAACUUGCCCCGAGAUGAGUUCUCCCUGAGACCUUGAGUCUCCUGAAGGAACGUUGAAGACGACGACGUUGAUAGGUCGGGUGUGUAAGCGCAGCGAUGCGUUGAGCUAACCGAUACUAAUGAACCGUGAGGCUUAACCUU